RNAcentral lists this transfer RNA (70 nucleotides) under Rhinotermes marginalis. Its description in RNAcentral is "tRNA-Leu". Lineage: Eukaryota; Metazoa; Arthropoda; Insecta; Blattodea; Rhinotermitidae. The record is from RNAcentral.
GCUAUUUUGGCAGAUAAGUGCAUUGGAUUUAGAAUCUAUUAAUGUAAAGGUUUAUACUUUAUGAAUAGUA